Molecule: non-coding RNA, 73 nt
Organism: Wilcoxina mikolae CBS 423.85
Lineage: Eukaryota; Fungi; Ascomycota; Pezizomycetes; Pezizales; Pyronemataceae
Source: the annotation of a GenBank genome assembly
GCCUCGCUAGCUCAAUCGGUAGAGCGUGAGACUCUUAAUCUCAAGGUUGCGGGUUCGAUCCCCGCGUGGGGCU